UAGUUGCCCCUGUGUCUGUGGAAGCGCCAGAAGAAGCAAGCGAAGAAGAAGAAGGUGACAGCAGCAGUGAAGAACAAGAAGAAGGAGAAGGAGAUGAUGAAGAUGAAGAAGAAGAGGCAGAGGAGGAGGAAGAGGAAGAGGAAGAGGAAGAAGAAGAAGAAAUAGAGCAAGAAAAAGAGAGUGAAACAUCUGCUGAUAAUAGUGAUGCAGUUGCAUAAUCAUCAUCAUAAAGUACUGGUUGUGAUACAUUAAUAACUAGCGCUAAUAAACAUGCUGCGACUCAGUAAAACAAACAUAUUAAAAAAUAGAUAGACUUUUAUUGUUCAAUUUAUUAAUAAAGUAUGCAACCACA
Long non-coding RNA from Mytilus trossulus (common blue mussel), 352 nucleotides. RefSeq lists it as uncharacterized. The transcript has 2 exons. The record is from RefSeq and is a predicted model, not a curated record. NCBI's taxonomy places the organism in Eukaryota, Metazoa, Mollusca, Bivalvia, Mytilida, Mytilidae.